RNAcentral lists this ribosomal RNA (460 nucleotides) under uncultured bacterium. RNAcentral's name for it is "partial 16S ribosomal RNA". It matches the Rfam family "Bacterial small subunit ribosomal RNA", at positions 338 to 795 of the family's 1533-position model. The record is from RNAcentral.
CCUACGGGUGGCAGCAGUGAGGAAUAUUGGUCAAUGGGCGCGAGCCUGAACCAGCCAAGUAGCGUGAAGGAUGACUGCCCUACGGGUUGUAAACUUCUUUUGCAAAGGAAUAAAGUGAGGAACGUGUGCCUUUUUGUAUGUACUUUAUGAAUAAGGAUCGGCUAACUCCGUGCCAGCAGCCGCGGUAAGACGGAGGGUCCGAGCGUUAUCCGGAUUUAUUGGGUUUAAAGGGAGCGUAGAUGGGUUGUUAAGUCAGGUGUGAAAGUUUGCGGCUCAACCGUAAAAUUGCAAUUGAUACUGGCAGCCUUGAGUGCAGUAGAGGUAGGCGGAAUUCGUGGUGUAGCGGUGAAAUGCUUAGAUAUCACGAAGAACUCCGAUUGCGAAGGCAGCUUACUAAACUGCCACUGACGUUGAGGCUCGAAAGUGUGGGUAUCAAACAGGAUUAGAUACCCCGGUAGUC